CAAGACAACUUUACGGAGUUGACGAUUGACGGAGCGAAGCGACGUCAAAGCGUUCAUUAAAGUCGAGUUGGCUUAGGGAUACGUUCGUUGGGUAGGGGAGCGUUCUGUAAGCCUGUGAAGGUGUGUCGUGAGGCAUGCUGGAGGUAUCAGAAGUGCGAAUGCUGACAUAAGUAACGAUAAAGCGGGUGAAAAGCCCGCUCGCCGGAAGACCAAGGGUUCCUGUCCAACGUUAAUCGGGGCAGGGUGAGUCGACCCCUAAGGCGAGGCCGAAAGGCGUAGUCGAUGGGAAACGGGUUAAUAUUCCCGUACUUGGUGUUACUGCGAAGGGGGGACGGAGAAGGCUAUGUUGGCCGGGCGACGGUUGUCCCGGUUUAAGCGUGUAGGUGUGUGUUCCAGGUAAAUCCGGUUCACUUUAACACUGAGGCGUGACGACGAGGCACUACGGUGCUGAAGCAACAAAUGCCCUGCUUCCAGGAAAAGCCUCUAAGCAUCAGGUAACACGAAAUCGUACCCCAAACCGACACAGGUGGUCAGGUAGAGAAUACCAAGGCGCUUGAGAGAACUAGGGUGAAGGAACUAGGCAAAAUGGUGCCGUAACUUCGGGAGAAGGCACGCUGACACGUAGGUGAAGUGAUUUACUCAUGGAGCUGAAGUCAGUCGAAGAUACCAGCUGGCUGCAACUGUUUAUUAAAAACACAGCACUGUGCAAACACGAAAGUGGACGUAUACGGUGUGACGCCUGCCCGGUGCCGGAAGGUUAAUUGAUGGGGUCAGCGUAAGCGAAGCUCCUGAUCGAAGCCCCGGUAAACGGCGGCCGUAACUAUAACGGUCCUAAGGUAGCGAAAUUCCUUGUCGGGUAAGUUCCGACCUGCACGAAUGGCGUAAUGAUGGCCAGGCUGUCUCCACCCGAGACUCAGUGAAAUUGAACUCGCUGUGAAGAUGCAGUGUACCCGCGGCAAGACGGAAAGACCCCGUGAACCUUUACUAUAGCUUGACACUGAACAUUGAGCCUUGAUGUGUAGGAUAGGUGGGAGGCUUUGAAGUGUGGACGCCAGUCUGCAUGGAGCCGACCUUGAAAUACCACCCUUUAAUGUUUGAUGUUCUAACGUGGACCCGUAAUCCGGGUUGCGGACAGUGUCUGGUGGGUAGUUUGACUGGGGCGGUCUCCUCCUAAAGAGUAACGGAGGAGCACGAAGGUUGGCUAAUCCUGGUCGGACAUCAGGAGGUUAGUGCAAUGGCAUAAGCCAGCUUGACUGCGAGCGUGACGGCGCGAGCAGGUGCGAAAGCAGGUCAUAGUGAUCCGGUGGUUCUGAAUGGAAGGGCCAUCGCUCAACGGAUAAAAGGUACUCCGGGGAUAACAGGCUGAUACCGCCCAAGAGUUCAUAUCGACGGCGGUGUUUGGCACCUCGAUGUCGGCUCAUCACAUCCUGGGGCUGAAGUAGGUCCCAAGGGUAUGGCUGUUCGCCAUUUAAAGUGGUACGCGAGCUGGGUUUAGAACGUCGUGAGACAGUUCGGUCCCUAUCUGCCGUGGGCGCUGGAGAACUGAGGGGGGCUGCUCCUAGUACGAGAGGACCGGAGUGGACGCAUCACUGGUGUUCGGGUUGUCAUGCCAAUGGCACUGCCCGGUAGCUAAAUGCGGAAGAGAUAAGUGCUGAAAGCAUCUAAGCACGAAACUUGCCCCGA
RNAcentral lists this ribosomal RNA (1683 nucleotides) under Salmonella enterica. RNAcentral describes it as "partial 23S ribosomal RNA". It matches the Rfam family "Bacterial large subunit ribosomal RNA", at positions 1163 to 2802 of the family's 2925-position model. The record is from RNAcentral. Lineage: Bacteria; Pseudomonadati; Pseudomonadota; Gammaproteobacteria; Enterobacterales; Enterobacteriaceae.